RNAcentral lists this ribosomal RNA (383 nucleotides) under uncultured Acholeplasma sp. RNAcentral's name for it is "bacterial SSU rRNA". It matches the Rfam family "Bacterial small subunit ribosomal RNA", at positions 1002 to 1382 of the family's 1533-position model. Lineage: Bacteria; Bacillati; Mycoplasmatota; Mollicutes; Acholeplasmatales; Acholeplasmataceae. The record is from RNAcentral.
CUAGGGGGUGGCUUCCAUCUGGAAGAAUCUGGAGACAGGUGCUGCAUGGCUGUCGUCAGCUCGUGUCGUGAGAUGUUGGGUUAAGUCCCGCAACGAGCGCAACCCUUGCCUUUAGUUUGCCAGCAGUUCGGCUGGGCACUCUAAAGGGACUGCCGGUGUUAAACUGGAGGAAGGUGGGGAUGACGUCAAAUCAUCAUGCCCCUUAUGACCUGGGCUACAAACGUGAUACAAUGGCUGGAACAAAGGGAUGCGAAGCAGUGAUGUGGAGCGAAACCCAUAAAAACAGUCUCAGUUCGGAUUGAAGUCUGCAACUCGACUUCAUGAAGUCGGAAUCGCUAGUAAUCGCGGAUCAGAACGCCGCGGUGAAUACGUUCCCGGGCCUU